GUUGAAACGCUUGAUUCUCCCCUGCGAAGACACGAAAGCUGGGUCAUUCAGUGAUUGCCCUGUUUGAGCGGUGAUAGCUAUGCCAUGGAGCCCAUUCGUAUAAUGAAAGACUAUGGGAAAGACUUUGGCUCCAUGGCAAUUGAACUGUAUGUGUGUCCUCUAAGCGUCAUUCAGUAAUAAUGUGCGCUCAGAUCUGAGCUAUCUGGGGAUAUGUUGA
Pelobates cultripes (western spadefoot toad) is the source of this 217-nucleotide non-coding RNA. The record is from the annotation of a GenBank genome assembly. Lineage: Eukaryota; Metazoa; Chordata; Amphibia; Anura; Pelobatidae.